GCCCAGGAAGAAACCUCUGAGAAGCAGACACACACCCAGGAACAGACUGUUUGCUGUGAGCCUCCCACCGGGCAGAAAAAGGAUGAUCUCAUUCGCCUUCUAAGAAGUCUUCCAAACCUCUGCCUCCACAGUUCCGACUUUUGUGCAAGUGUUUCUUGUCCCUGGCUGCCAGAAAGUUCUCCUCGAUAUUUAACUUGAACCUUACUCUCAGUGGGACAGACUUGGAGAAAGGUCAUUUAUUCAAAGUAUCCCAGCUUCCCAGGCACUUCCCCCCUCACAGUGACCUGCAGGAACUGGUGUGAUUACAGAUGACUGACAGCCCCUUCAUUGGGAGGGGCCACCUGACAAGG
Non-coding RNA from Delphinapterus leucas (beluga whale), 350 nucleotides. The record is from RefSeq and is a predicted model, not a curated record. NCBI's taxonomy places the organism in Eukaryota, Metazoa, Chordata, Mammalia, Artiodactyla, Monodontidae.